UGAUCCUGGCUCAGGAUGAACGCUAGCGGCAGGCCUAACACAUGCAAGUCGAGGGGUAACAUAGAGUGCUUGCACUCUGAUGACGACCGGCGCACGGGUGAGUAACGCGUAUACAAUCUGCCUCAUACUAGGGGAUAGCCCAAAGAAAUUUGGAUUAAUACCCUAUAGUAUCUUUUAGAGUCAUCUCUUUAAGAUUAAAGGUUACGGUAUGAGAUGAGUAUGCGUUCUAUUAGUUAGUAGGUGAGGUAACGGCUCACCUAGACCACGAUAGAUAGGGGCCCUGAGAGGGGGAUCCCCCACACUGGUACUGAGACACGGACCAGACUCCUACGGGAGGCAGCAGUGAGGAAUAUUAGACAAUGGGCGAAAGCCUGAUCUAGCCAUGCCGCGUGCAGGAUGACGGCCCUAUGGGUUGUAAACUGCUUUUAUACAGGAAGAAAAAACUCUACGUGUAGAGUCUUGACGGUACUGUAAGAAUAAGGAUCGGCUAACUCCGUGCCAGCAGCCGCGGUAAUACGGAGGAUCCAAGCGUUAUCCGGAUUCAUUGGGUUUAAAGGGUCCGUAGGCGGGUCUUUAAGUCAGUGGUGAAAGCCGACAGCUCAACUGUCGAACUGCCAUUGAUACUGGAGACCUUGAGUACAAAUGAAGUAGGCGGAAUGGGUCAUGUAGCGGUGAAAUGCAUAGAUAUGACUCAGAACACCGAUUGCGAAGGCAGCUUACUAACAUGUAACUGACGCUGAGGGACGAAAGCGUGGGGAGCGAACAGGAUUAGAUACCCUGGUAGUCCACGCCGUAAACGAUCAUCACUCGCUGUUGGCGAUAUACUGUCAGCGGCCAAGCGAAAGUAUUAAGUGAUGCACCUGGGGAGUACGCCGGCAACGGUGAAACUCAAAGGAAUUGACGGGGGCCCGCACAAGCGGUGGAGCAUGUGGUUUAAUUCGAUGAUACGCGAGGAACCUUACCAGGGCUUAAAUGUAGUCUGACAGGCGUGGAAACAUGCUUUUCUUCGGACAGAUUACAAGGUGCUGCAUGGUUGUCGUCAGCUCGUGCCGUGAGGUGUCAGGUUAAGUCCUAUAACGAGCGCAACCCCUGUUGUUAGUUGCCAGCGAGUCAUGUCGGGAACUCUAACAAGACUGCCAGUGCAAACUGUGAGGAAGGUGGGGAUGACGUCAAAUCAUCACGGCCCUUACGUCCUGGGCCACACACGUGCUACAAUGGUAGGUACAGAGAGCAGCCACUGCGCGAGCAGGAGCGAAUCUAUAAAACCUAUCUCAGUUCGGAUCGGAGUCUGCAACUUGACUCCGUGAAGCUGGAAUCGCUAGUAAUCGGAUAUCAGCCAUGAUCCGGUGAAUACGUUCCCGGGCCUUGUACACACCGCCCGUCAAGCCAUGGAAGCUGGGGGUACCUGAAGUCGGUCACCGCAAGGAGCCGCCUAGGGUAAAACUGGUAACUAGGGCUAAGUCGUAACAAGGUAACC
Molecule: ribosomal RNA, 1477 nt
Filed under: uncultured marine bacterium
Lineage: Bacteria
Description: bacterial SSU rRNA
Rfam family: Bacterial small subunit ribosomal RNA
Source: RNAcentral